GGGUUGUGAGGUUAAGCGACUAAGCGUACACGGUGGAUGCCCUGGCAGUCAGAGGCGAUGAAGGACGUGCUAAUCUGCGAUAAGCGUCGGUGAGGUGAUAUGAACCGUUAUAACCGGCGAUUUCCGAAUGGGGAAACCCAGUGUGAUUCGUCACACUAUCAUUAACUGAAUCCAUAGGUUAAUGAGGCGAACCGGGGGAACUGAAACAUCUAAGUACCCCGAGGAAAAGAAAUCAACCGAGAUUCCCCCAGUAGCGGCGAGCGAACGGGGAGCAGCCCAGAGCCUGAAUCAGUGUGUGUGUUAGUGGAAGCGUCUGGAAAGGCGCGCGAUACAGGGUGACAGCCCCGUACACAAAAAUGCACAUACUGUGAGCUCGAUGAGUAGGGCGGGACACGUGGUAUCCUGUCUGAAUAUGGGGGGACCAUCCUCCAAGGCUAAAUACUCCUGACUGACCGAUAGUGAACCAGUACCGUGAGGGAAAGGCGAAAAGAACCCCGGCGAGGGGAGUGAAAAAGAACCUGAAACCGUGUACGUACAAGCAGUGGGAGCACGCUUCGGCGUGUGACUGCGUACCUUUUGUAUAAUGGGUCAGCGACUUAUAUUCUGUAGCAAGGUUAACCGAAUAGGGGAGCCGAAGGGAAACCGAGUCUUAACUGGGCGUUAAGUUGCAGGGUAUAGACCCGAAACCCGGUGAUCUAGCCAUGGGCAGGUUGAAGGUUGGGUAACACUAACUGGAGGACCGAACCGACUAAUGUUGAAAAAUUAGCGGAUGACUUGUGGCUGGGGGUGAAAGGCCAAUCAAACCGGGAGAUAGCUGGUUCUCCCCGAAAGCUAUUUAGGUAGCGCCUCGUGAAUUCAUCUCCGGGGGUAGAGCACUGUUUCGGCAAGGGGGUCAUCCCGACUUACCAACCCGAUGCAAACUGCGAAUACCGGAGAAUGUUAUCACGGGAGACACACGGCGGGUGCUAACGUCCGUCGUGAAGAGGGAAACAACCCAGACCGCCAGCUAAGGUCCCAAAGUCAUGGUUAAGUGGGAAACGAUGUGGGAAGGCCCAGACAGCCAGGAUGUUGGCUUAGAAGCAGCCAUCAUUUAAAGAAAGCGUAAUAGCUCACUGGUCGAGUCGGCCUGCGCGGAAGAUGUAACGGGGCUAAACCAUGCACCGAAGCUGCGGCAGCGACACUAUGUGUUGUUGGGUAGGGGAGCGUUCUGUAAGCCUGUGAAGGUGUACUGUGAGGUAUGCUGGAGGUAUCAGAAGUGCGAAUGCUGACAUAAGUAACGAUAAAGCGGGUGAAAAGCCCGCUCGCCGGAAGACCAAGGGUUCCUGUCCAACGUUAAUCGGGGCAGGGUGAGUCGACCCCUAAGGCGAGGCCGAAAGGCGUAGUCGAUGGGAAACAGGUUAAUAUUCCUGUACUUGGUGUUACUGCGAAGGGGGGACGGAGAAGGCUAUGUUGGCCGGGCGACGGUUGUC
Molecule: ribosomal RNA, 1469 nt
Filed under: Escherichia coli
Lineage: Bacteria; Pseudomonadati; Pseudomonadota; Gammaproteobacteria; Enterobacterales; Enterobacteriaceae
Description: partial 23S ribosomal RNA
Rfam family: Bacterial large subunit ribosomal RNA
Source: RNAcentral